RNAcentral lists this long non-coding RNA (563 nucleotides) under Fukomys damarensis (Damara mole-rat). RNAcentral describes it as "lncRNA (ENSFDAG00000030048.1)". Lineage: Eukaryota; Metazoa; Chordata; Mammalia; Rodentia; Bathyergidae. The record is from RNAcentral.
GGCGUGCAGGACCCAGGGGCAGGCUCGCACACAGGGUGCUCGGUGUACCCAUGCUGCACUGGUCCCGCUGCACUGGCCAUUGGUCCCUUAGAUCACGAUGGAGGGUGGCAGAUGAUUAUUCACACAAGAGAAACUAUUCAGUAUUUACACAUGUGGAAAUCUGGAAUCUUAAAUGUUCUAAAAUAUGAAGCAGUUUGGGUGAUGAUACAACAAUAGAAGUUGAAAGUUCCACACCUGGCUUCAUGUGAUGGAUCGUGGUCUAAAACAUGCACACCAAAAUUAUUGCAUAAAAUUAUCUUCAGGCUAUGUGUAUAAGCAUUCUCUUCAAGCCUGUCCUCCACUAUCUCCUCUACCACGAAAUAAAUAAAGCCUCCAUCUACAACAGCAACUGCACACAGUUCUUGCCAUCAUUGAGUUUCACCUGUGAACCCCAGCCAUGUGACAGCUGCAAGGAACCUGAGAGAUUCCCCAACCUGACCAUUUCAGGGUAAAAGGGAGGAGAGGGAAAGUGAGAGAUUCACAUAGUAAUACCACAGUCACUGCCAAGGAGCCACAACACCCAU